AUUGAACGCUGGCGGCAUGCCUUACACAUGCAAGUCGAACGGUAGAGUAGCAAUACUUGAGAGUGGCGAACGGGUGAGUAAUAUAUCGGAACGUGCCCAGUCGUGGGGGAUAACGUAGAGAAAUUUACGCUAAUACCGCAUACGAUCUAAGGAUGAAAGCGGGGGAUCGCAAGACCUCGCGCGAUUGGAGCGGCCGAUAUCAGAUUAGGUAGUUGGUGGGGUAAAGGCUCACCAAGCCGACGAUCUGUAGCUGGUCUGAGAGGACGACCAGCCACACUGGGACUGAGACACGGCCCAGACUCCUACGGGAGGCAGCAGUGGGAAUUUUGGACAAUGGGCGCAAGCCUGAUCCAGCAAUGCCGCGUGCAGGAUGAAGGCCUUCGGGUUGGUUAAACCGUUAGCGUUUUGUUACGGAACG
RNAcentral lists this ribosomal RNA (418 nucleotides) under uncultured bacterium. RNAcentral describes it as "bacterial SSU rRNA". It matches the Rfam family "Bacterial small subunit ribosomal RNA", at positions 30 to 453 of the family's 1533-position model. The record is from RNAcentral.